Molecule: ribosomal RNA, 303 nt
Filed under: uncultured bacterium
Lineage: Bacteria
Description: partial 16S ribosomal RNA
Rfam family: Bacterial small subunit ribosomal RNA
Source: RNAcentral
AGCAGCAGCCGCGGGAAUACGGAGGGAGCUAGCGUUGUUCGGAUUUACUGGGCGUAAAGGGCGCGUAGGCGGGCGAAUAAGUCAGGGGUGAAAUCCCAAGGCUCAACCUUGGAACUGCCUUUGAUACUGUUUGUCUUGAGUUCGAGAGAGGUAAGUGGAACUGCGAGUGUAGAGGUGAAAUUCGUAGAUAUUCGCAAGAACACCAGUGGCGAAGGCGGCUUACUGGCUCGAAACUGACGCUGAGGCGCGAAAGCGUGGGGAGCAAACAGGAUUAGAUACCCCCGUAGUCCCUGUCUCUUAUAA